RNAcentral lists this ribosomal RNA (468 nucleotides) under uncultured bacterium. RNAcentral describes it as "partial 16S ribosomal RNA". It matches the Rfam family "Bacterial small subunit ribosomal RNA", at positions 28 to 507 of the family's 1533-position model. The record is from RNAcentral.
GACGAACGCUGGCGGCGUGCUUAACACAUGCAAGUCGAACGGAAAGGCCCCGAUUUUUUGGGGUGCUGGAGGGGCGAAGGGGUGAGGAACAUGAGAGUAACGUGACCUUCACUUUGGGAUAGGUUCACGGAACUGGGGUUACUAUAGGACAGGAUAUCCUGUUGCAUUGGGGGGAUUGGAAAGUCUCGGCGGUUGGGGAUGGACGCGAGGCUGAUGAAGUCGUUGGUGGGGUAGUAGGGUACCAAGGCAUGGACGGGUAGCCGGCCUGAGAGGGUGACCGGCCACAUUGGGACUGCGAGACGGACCAGACUGGUACGGGAGGCAGCAGUGGGGAGUAUUGCACAGUGGGAGGAAGCCGGAUGCAGCAGCGCCGCGUGCGGGAUGACGGCCUUCGGGUUGUAAAACGCUUCCGCCUGUGACGAAGCGGGAGUGACGGUAAUGGAAAAAGAAGCACCGGCUAACUACGUG